GCAGUAGCCGCGGGAAUACGAAGGGGGCUAGCGUUGUUCGGAUUUACUGGGCGUAAAGGGUGCGUAGGCGGACUGAUAAGUCAGGGGUGAAAUCCCAAGGCUCAACCUUGGAACUGCCUUUGAUACUGUUAGUCUUGAGUUCGAGAGAGGUGAGUGGAACUGCGAGUGUAGAGGUGAAAUUCGUAGAUAUUCGCAAGAACACCAGUGGCGAAGGCGGCUCACUGGCUCGAAACUGACGCUGAGGCACGAAAGCGUGGGGAGCAAACAGGAUUAGAUACCCCAGUAGUCCCUGUCUCUUAUAC
RNAcentral lists this ribosomal RNA (302 nucleotides) under uncultured bacterium. RNAcentral's name for it is "partial 16S ribosomal RNA". It matches the Rfam family "Bacterial small subunit ribosomal RNA", at positions 508 to 807 of the family's 1533-position model. The record is from RNAcentral.